This 479-nucleotide ribosomal RNA is filed under the name uncultured anaerobic ammonium-oxidizing bacterium. RNAcentral's name for it is "bacterial SSU rRNA". It matches the Rfam family "Bacterial small subunit ribosomal RNA", at positions 364 to 833 of the family's 1533-position model. The record is from RNAcentral.
UUUCGCAAUGCCCGAAAGGGUGACGAAGCGACGCCGCGUGAGUGAGGAAGGCCUUCGGGUUGUAAAGCUCUGUCAGGAGUUAAGAAAUAUAAGUGUGUUAAUACCACAUUUAUUUGACGAAGGCUCCAAAGGAAGCCACGGCUAACUCUGUGCCAGCAGCCGCGGUAAUACAGAGGUGGCAAGCGUUGUUCGGAAUUAUUGGGCGUAAAGAGCACGUAGGUGGGUUUGUAAGUCAGAUGUGAAAGCCUUCAGUUCAACGGAAGAAUUGCAUCUGAAACUGCGAGUCUUGAGUGUAGGAGGGGAGAAUGGAACUUCUGGUGGAGCGGUGAAAUGCGUAGAUAUCAGAAGGAACGCCGGCGGCGAAAGCGAUUCUCUGGCCUAUUACUGACACUCAGUGUGCGAAAGCUAGGGGAGCAAACGGGAUUAGAUACCCCGGUAGUCCUAGCUGUAAACGAUGGGCACUAAGUAGAGGGGUUUUA